This 253-nucleotide ribosomal RNA is filed under the name uncultured bacterium. RNAcentral's name for it is "partial 16S ribosomal RNA". It matches the Rfam family "Bacterial small subunit ribosomal RNA", at positions 524 to 776 of the family's 1533-position model. The record is from RNAcentral.
UACAGAGGUCUCAAGCGUUGUUCGGAUUCAUUGGGCGUAAAGGGUGCGUAGGCGGCGCGGUAAGUCGGGUGUGAAAUCUUGGAGCUUAACUCCGAAACUGCACUUGAUACUGCUCUGCUUGAGGACUGGAGAGGAGACUGGAAUUCACGGUGUAGCAGUGAAAUGCGUAGAUAUCGUGAGGAAGACCAGUGGCGAAGGCGGGUCUCUGGACAGUUCCUGACGCUGAGGCGCGAAGGCCAGGGGAGCAAACGGG